AGGGAAUUUUCCGCAAUGGGCGAAAGCCUGACGGAGCAACGCCGCGUGAAUGAUGACGGCCUUCGGGUUGUAAAAUUCUGUUCUAAGGGAAGAAGUUCUGACGGUACCUUAGGAGAAAGCCACGGCUAACUACGUGCCAGCAGCCGCGGUAAUACGUAGGUGGCAAGCGUUGUCCGGAAUUAUUGGGCGUAAAGCGCGCGCAGGCGGUUCUUUAAGUUGGGUGUUAAAGGCAGCGGCUCAACCGCUGUUCGCACCCAAAACUGGGGAACUUGAGUGCAGGAGAGGAUAGUGGAAUUCCCGGUGUAGCGGUGGAAUGCGUAGAGAUCGGGAGGAACACCAGUGGCGAAGGCGACUGUCUGGCCUGCAACUGACGCUGAGGCGCGAAAGCGUGGGGAGCAAAC
Molecule: ribosomal RNA, 401 nt
Filed under: uncultured bacterium
Lineage: Bacteria
Description: bacterial SSU rRNA
Rfam family: Bacterial small subunit ribosomal RNA
Source: RNAcentral